GCGUUCGUGGUGUAUCGGUAACAUUGGGUCUUCCCAUGUUCGGAGCGAACUGAUUUAAUCAUGGCCUAGCACCGGGUUCGACUCCCGGCGGACGCA
Molecule: non-coding RNA, 96 nt
Organism: Mycena haematopus
Lineage: Eukaryota; Fungi; Basidiomycota; Agaricomycetes; Agaricales; Mycenaceae
Source: the annotation of a GenBank genome assembly